AUGAAUGAAGCCUUACUUGCACCUUACACUGAAGAAGUUAAAAGAGCGUUAUUCAGUAUAGGUGACCUGAAGACCCCCGGCCCGGAUGGGCUGCACGCAAUUUUCUACAAGAAAUUUUGGAACUUGGUAGGCCCGGAUCUGGUGAAAGAGGUACUCGAAGCCGUGAACAGUAAGGUUAUUCCUGAGGGAUGGAAUACGACCACCAUAGUGCUUAUCCCGAAAGUGGACACGCCGGAGAAGGUGUCCCAAUUCCGCCCUAUAAGCCUCUGUAACGUGGUUUACAAAGUCAUUUCAAAGAUGUUGGCGGCUCGACUGAAGGUAUUCCUCCCAGAGAUUAUCAGUGAGACGCAAAGUGCAUUUGUUCCUGGCCGUAUUAUUACGGAUAAUGUCAUAGUUGCAUAUGAAUAUCUCCACACGAUGAAAAAGAAGAAGAAAGGCAAGGUGGGAUCUUGUGCCGUGAAAUUAGACAUGCACAAAGCAUAUGACCGUGUAGAGUGGGUCUUUUUGGAGGCUAUUCUUGGUAAACUAGGAUUUGGUAGUAGGUGGAUUGAGCUCAUAAUGGCCUGUGUAACAUCAGUGGAGUAUAAAGUGAGAUUCAACUCCAAUGAGACAGCACCUUUUACUCCUACAAGGGGCUUACGACAGGGAGAUCCCCUAUCUCCCUACCUCUUUCUUUUAUGUGCAGAAGGCCUCUCUGCCCUGAUUGCCAGUGAAGAGGAACAAGGAAAUUUGAAGGGGGUGCAAGUAUGCCGUGACUCACCCUUCAUAUCUCACCUUUUGUUUGCUGAUGAUUCAUUAAUUCUCAUGAGGGCAGACAGUACUAAUGCUGGCUCGCUGAAGAGGAUCCUAGACAACUACUGUGCAGCCUCGGGACAAAUGGUGAGUAAAGCAAAGUCCUCAAUUUUUUUCAGCCCGAAUACAGAUGUGGAAUCCAAAGUGGAGAUAUGCCAAAUACUUGAUAUUAUGACAGAAUCCCUUUUCGAUAAAUAUCUGGGUCUGCCUUCCAUGAUUGGUGUUGAUCGAGUUGACUGUUUUAAACACUUGAUUGAGAGAAUACAGAAGCUAGUUAAUGGAUGGAAAAAGAGAACACUUUCAUAUGGUGGAAAAGAGGCAUUGAUAAAAGCGGUGGCCCAAGCCAUACUGACUUAUGCGAUGAGUGUAUUCAAAUUUCCGGAAAAAGAUUGUAAGGGAAUCACUGAUGCCAUAUCGCAUUAUUGGUGGGGUGAUGGAGAAAACCAGCGCAAAAUGCAU
Molecule: ribosomal RNA, 1251 nt
Filed under: Triticum aestivum (bread wheat)
Lineage: Eukaryota; Viridiplantae; Streptophyta; Magnoliopsida; Poales; Poaceae
Description: partial small subunit ribosomal RNA
Source: RNAcentral